GCAUGAUAUGAAGGAAGUGAAUUCGGCAGUGUGGAGCAUGGUGAAAAGGAAGAUGUAUAUCAACUCAGGCUAAUUCUGCUGGAAAUCAUUGUCUGUAAACCUAUUGAAGCGAGAAGUGAAUUCAAUACACUUAAACUUAAACUGCAGAGCAGUUAAUCAGAAAAUCCUGCAAAGCUAAGGUUCAAGAUGGAUGUUAUAUGGAAUUUGUAGUACACUGUCCAGGUUCAUAAGGAUCACAAGGAGAGUAUGAGCCAAGAAUGUCCAGCGAUGGUACUCUUAAAGCCAAGCAGAAGUCUAGCUACUGGAUUGUAUAGUUUGAUGUAAUACUUAAGAAGUAGCAGACAUGGACUGUAACAUGACAACAACAAAUUUAUAGGACAG
Molecule: long non-coding RNA, 381 nt
Organism: Dioscorea cayenensis subsp. rotundata (Guinea yam)
Lineage: Eukaryota; Viridiplantae; Streptophyta; Magnoliopsida; Dioscoreales; Dioscoreaceae
Exons: 3
Source: RefSeq, a predicted model, not a curated record